UCGCCUGUUUAUCAAAAACAUAACUGCAAGGUGUUAGUUGCAGCAUUUUCUGCUCAAUGAGUUUUAAAUAGCCGCAGUACUUUGACUGUGCGAAGGUAGCAUAAUCAAUUGUCUUAUAAUUGAAGACUGGAAUGAAUGAAUGUUUGGGUAGUCACUGUUUCAUUUUAAAAUUUGGAAUUUAACUCUAAAGUGCAAAUGCUUUAGUAUAAAAUUAAGACGAGAAGACCCUGGAAAUUUAUGAUAAAAUUUUGUUGGGGCGACAGGGUAACAAUAAGAACUUACCUAAGUAGGUGAAAAAUAUUUUAACUUAACUAAAUUACUCCAGGGAUAACAGCAUAAUUUCUUUUGAAGUUUGUGACCUCGAUGUUGGAUUAGGAAAAAUUAUUGUUUAGAAA
Molecule: ribosomal RNA, 395 nt
Filed under: Triodopsis tridentata
Lineage: Eukaryota; Metazoa; Mollusca; Gastropoda; Stylommatophora; Polygyridae
Description: partial 16S ribosomal RNA
Rfam family: Bacterial large subunit ribosomal RNA
Source: RNAcentral